AGAGUGGGGCAGUUGCCAAGGAGAGGCUUCUAACUUUAUCCUUAAGUUAAAUUUCUACUCUU
RNAcentral lists this transfer RNA (62 nucleotides) under Orthione mesoamericana. RNAcentral's name for it is "tRNA-Ser". The record is from RNAcentral. Lineage: Eukaryota; Metazoa; Arthropoda; Malacostraca; Isopoda; Bopyridae.